UUACGGCCACAUCACGUUGAAACACCAGUCCCUGUACGAUCACCGAAGUUAAACAACGCCGAGCCUAGUCAGUGCUUAGAUGGGUGACUGCUUGGGAAUACCGAGUGCUGUAA
Molecule: non-coding RNA, 113 nt
Organism: Acanthosepion pharaonis
Lineage: Eukaryota; Metazoa; Mollusca; Cephalopoda; Sepiida; Sepiidae
Source: the annotation of a GenBank genome assembly